GAUGAACGCUGGCGGCGUGCCUAAUACAUGCAAGUCGAACGCAUUGAGAGAAGUGCUUGCACUUUUCAAUUUGAGUGGCGAACGGGUGAGUAACACGUGGGCAACCUACCUGAUAGCGGGGGAUAACGAGUGGAAACAUUCGCUAAUACCGCAUAACAAUAGAGAAGGCAUCUUCUUUAUUUAAAAGGCGCUUUCAAGCGUCACUAUCAGAUGGGCCCGCGGUGCAUUAGUUAGUUGGUGGGGUGAAGGCCUACCAAGACGAUGAUGCAUAGCCGAGUUGAGAGACUGAUCGGCCAAAUUGGGACUGAGACACGGCCCAAACUCCUACGGGAGGCUGCAGUAGGGAAUCUUCCACAAUGGACGAAAGUCUGAUGGAGCAACGCCGCGUGUGUGAUGAAGGCUUUCGGGUCGUAAAGCACUGUUGUAUGGGAAGAAAUGCCAGGCUAGGAAAUGAGCUUAGUUUGACGGUACCAUACCAGAAAGGGACGGCUAAAUACGUGCCAGCCGCCGCGGUAA
RNAcentral lists this ribosomal RNA (516 nucleotides) under uncultured bacterium. RNAcentral describes it as "partial 16S ribosomal RNA". It matches the Rfam family "Bacterial small subunit ribosomal RNA", at positions 28 to 523 of the family's 1533-position model. The record is from RNAcentral.